Molecule: ribosomal RNA, 275 nt
Filed under: uncultured bacterium
Lineage: Bacteria
Description: partial 16S ribosomal RNA
Source: RNAcentral
CUGCUGCCUUCCGUAGGAGUCUGGUCCGUGUCUCAGUACCAGUGUGGGGGACCUUCCUCUCAGAACCCCUACGCAUCGUCGGUUAGGUGGGCCGUUACCCCGCCUACUGCCUAAUGCGCCGCAUGCCCAUCCCUGUCCGGCAGAAGCCUUUCCUGCCUCCGGGAUGCCCCGGUGGCAUGUACGCGGGUUUAGCCCGCCUUUCGGCGGGUUGUCCCCCUGACAGGGGCAGGUUGCAUACGUGUUACUCACCCGUGCGCCGGUCGCCGGCGGAGAAA